Molecule: non-coding RNA, 92 nt
Organism: Mycena polygramma
Lineage: Eukaryota; Fungi; Basidiomycota; Agaricomycetes; Agaricales; Mycenaceae
Source: the annotation of a GenBank genome assembly
GGCCAAGUGGUGUAACAGUUACACUUCCUCUCUUCUUGCAGAAAACCUCCAAGCUUCGGAGGAAGAUCCCGGUUCGAGUCCGGGCUUGGCCC